UGUCGUCGAUGAUGAUGAAUGUCUAAUCCCAGCUCUAUGAGACCUUUUGGAAAGGUCUGGGAAUUGAAUCAUAAUCCAACAUUUAUCUGAGCCCUCUU
Molecule: small nucleolar RNA, 98 nt
Filed under: Gossypium hirsutum (cotton)
Lineage: Eukaryota; Viridiplantae; Streptophyta; Magnoliopsida; Malvales; Malvaceae
Also listed under: 1 other name
Source: RNAcentral